UUCCUACNGGGNAGCAGCAGUAGGGAAUCUUCCGCAAUGGACGAAAGUCUGACGGAGCAACGCCGCGUGAGUGAUGAAGGCUUUCGGGUCGUAAAACUCUGUUGUUAGGGAAGAACAAGUACGAGAGUAACUGCUCGUACCUUGACGGUACCUAACCAGAAAGCCACGGCUAACUACGUGCCAGCAGCCGCGGUAAUACGUAGGUGGCAAGCGUUAUCCGGAAUUAUUGGGCGUAAAGCGCGCGCAGGCGGUUUCUUAAGUCUGAUGUGAAAGCCCACGGCUCAACCGUGGAGGGUCAUUGGAAACUGGGGAACUUGAGUGCAGAAGAGAAAAGCGGAAUUCCACGUGUAGCGGUGAAAUGCGUAGAGAUGUGGAGGAACACCAGUGGCGAAGGCGGCUUUUUGGUCUGUAACUGACGCUGAGGCGCGAAAGCGUGGGGAGCAAACAGGAUUAGAUACCCUGGUAGUCCACGCCGUAAACGAUGAGUGCUAAGUGUUAGAGGGUUUCCGCCCUUUAGUGCUGCAGCUAACGCAUUAAGCACUCCGCCUGGGGAGUACGGUCGCAAGNA
Molecule: ribosomal RNA, 568 nt
Filed under: fuel tank bacterium S22A
Lineage: Bacteria
Description: bacterial SSU rRNA
Rfam family: Bacterial small subunit ribosomal RNA
Source: RNAcentral